This is a long non-coding RNA of Thamnophis elegans (Western terrestrial garter snake), 306 nucleotides long. RefSeq lists it as uncharacterized. The record is from RefSeq and is a predicted model, not a curated record. The transcript is spliced from 3 exons. NCBI's taxonomy places the organism in Eukaryota, Metazoa, Chordata, Lepidosauria, Squamata, Natricidae.
GAGCUGAUUAUUAAGAGCAUUAUGAGUGGCAAGAAGAACCUAUAAACCAGUCCUGGACAAAAUAGAAUAUGAUGGCUCCAUUGAGACCCACAUCUUCCUCCACGCAGCCAGCCAGGGCCAGCGCAUGAGGCCGAGUGAGCGGCAUGUGACAGUGGCGCCUUCAGCCCACCCCGCCAGAGACCUGGCUGCAAGGUCAGGGGUGCCAAACCUGUGUCGUCACAAUGGCAUCAUGUGGCACAGAGGUGAGUUCCUACCAGUUCGCACCUAUUCGGUAGAACCGCUUCGUCAAAUCUACCGAACCGGUUA